UUUAUGGAGAGUUUGAUCCUGGCUCAGGAUGAACGCUGGCGGCGUGCCUAAUACAUGCAAGUCGAGCGAACAGAUAAGGAGCUUGCUCCUUUGACGUUAGCGGCGGACGGGUGAGUAACACGUGGGUAACCUACCUAUAAGACUGGAAUAACUCCGGGAAACCGGGGCUAAUGCCGGAUAACAUGUUGAACCGCAUGGUUCUACAGUGAAAGACGGUCUUGCUGUCACUUAUAGAUGGACCCGCGCCGUAUUAGCUAGUUGGUAGGGUAACGGCCUACCAAGGCGACGAUACGUAGCCGACCUGAGAGGGUGAUCGGCCACACUGGAACUGAGACACGGUCCAGACUCCUACGGGAGGCAGCAGUAGGGAAUCUUCCGCAAUGGGCGAAAGCCUGACGGAGCAACGCCGCGUGAGUGAUGAAGGUCUUCGGAUCGUAAAGCUCUGUUGUUAGGGAAGAACAAAUGUGUAAGUAACUGUGCACAUCUUGACGGUACCUAACCAGAAAGCCACGGCUAACUACGUGCCAGCAGCCGCGGUAAUACGUAGGUGGCAAGCGUUAUCCGGAAUUAUUGGGCGUAAAG
This 582-nucleotide ribosomal RNA is filed under the name Staphylococcus pseudintermedius. Its description in RNAcentral is "bacterial SSU rRNA". It matches the Rfam family "Bacterial small subunit ribosomal RNA", at positions 1 to 565 of the family's 1533-position model. The record is from RNAcentral. Lineage: Bacteria; Bacillati; Bacillota; Bacilli; Caryophanales; Staphylococcaceae.